Molecule: transfer RNA, 87 nt
Filed under: Capnocytophaga sp. oral taxon 332 str. F0381
Lineage: Bacteria; Pseudomonadati; Bacteroidota; Flavobacteriia; Flavobacteriales; Flavobacteriaceae
Also listed under: 1 other name
Rfam family: tRNA
About the family: Transfer RNA (tRNA) molecules are approximately 80 nucleotides in length. Their secondary structure includes four short double-helical elements and three loops (D, anti-codon, and T loops). Further hydrogen bonds mediate the characteristic L-shaped molecular structure. tRNAs have two regions of fundamental functional importance: the anti-codon, which is responsible for specific mRNA codon recognition, and the 3' end, to which the tRNAs corresponding amino acid is attached (by aminoacyl-tRNA synthetases). tRNAs cope with the degeneracy of the genetic code in two manners: having more than one tRNA (with a specific anti-codon) for a particular amino acid; and 'wobble' base-pairing, i.e. permitting non-standard base-pairing at the 3rd anti-codon position.
Source: Rfam by way of RNAcentral
AGAGAGGUGUCCGAGUGGUUGAAGGAGUACGCCUGGAAAGUGUAUAUACACGAGAGUGUAUCGAGGGUUCGAAUCCCUUCCUCUCUG